CUGGUUGAUCCUGCCAGUAGUCAUAUGCUUGUCUCAAAGAUUAAGCCAUGCAUGUCUAAGUAUAAACUGCUUAUACUGUGAAACUGCGAAUGGCUCAUUAAAUCAGUUAUAGUUUAUUUGGUGGUACCUUCUUACUCGGAAUAACCGUAAGAAAUUUAGAGCUAAUACGUGCGUAAAUCCCGACUUCUGGAAGGGACGUAUAUAUUAGAUAAAAGGCCGACCGGGCUCUGCCCGACCCGCGGUGAAUCAUGAUAUCUUCACGAAGCGCAUGGCCUUGUGCCGGCGCUGUUCCAUUCAAAUU
RNAcentral lists this ribosomal RNA (301 nucleotides) under uncultured eukaryote. RNAcentral's name for it is "SSU rRNA". It matches the Rfam family "Eukaryotic small subunit ribosomal RNA", at positions 4 to 305 of the family's 1831-position model. The record is from RNAcentral.